Molecule: long non-coding RNA, 1274 nt
Organism: Peromyscus eremicus (cactus mouse)
Lineage: Eukaryota; Metazoa; Chordata; Mammalia; Rodentia; Cricetidae
Exons: 3
Source: RefSeq, a predicted model, not a curated record
AUGGUUGUGAGCCACCAUACGGUUACUGGGAAUUGAGGAGCACCAGAAGAGUAACCAGUGGUCCAGAUUGACCUUGUAAAUGAAGGUGUGCAUGGCUCCCCUUGACUGAAGGCACUGGGCAAGCUUUUAAAAAAAAAGGUAAGUGUUUUUGCUGAUGAAAUCUGCAUGUAUGAGUGCUUUUUUUUAUUAAAUUCCCCAAUAAGCCGAUACUAUGAUGAUAACAUAGUUCAGCAGACAGCCUCUGAUGAACAAAUAAGUCUUUCGCUCCUAUCUGAUGUAUCUGGCUGUAAUGGUUUAAAGAAUUGUCUUCCAUGAAUUUUGAUGGAAGCUAGCUUCUUGUGAUUGUAAGGCCAUAGGUCAAUGCCAAAGCACAAAUUCAGUCACUAGUUCAUAAAAUGUCAUUGACUUUGUAAGAGUGUAGUUUUCUAGGUAUGGUCACUACCAUAAAGUCUUAGGCCUCUUAGAAUUGGAGGAAAGAAUUGUUUGUGGAAAGGUCAUCUAAACUACUUCCGUACCCAAAUAGUGUAAAAUGUACUGAAUGGUUAAGAUAAAUUUCUGGGCUAAUGAAAUUUUCUUGUUAUUAAACAGGUCCUUCAUUUCUGAAUUUCAAGGUAAGCCAUCUUGUUUUUGUACAGAUUGUAUAAAAUGUGGCCUGUAACCAGUGAUGUGAUGAUUCUGCCAAAUGAUACAAAGUGAUAUCACCUUUAAAACCGUUCCACUUUAUUUCUGAGGUUACUAUAGUAACAUGCAAUCUAUAAAUAGUUUAAACAAGAUAAAUGAUUAGAUCUUUUUGUUUUAUAGGGCUCCUGUGGCAGAAGUGGGCAUGCAAUUUCACUAUUUGAAUUUCACCUUACUGUUUAAAAGGUGGCUGGAUGGACGUUCAGAUCAUACUUCGGGUUUUCACAUUAUGAGAAUUAUCAUCAAAAUAAAUAGAAUGGAAUGAAAUACAAAGUGUGCGUUUUGUUUUCUAAUGCUUAGGACCAAGUCCAUUGAGCAUGUUUUGUGGGGUAUUAUCCAGAGAAGAUUGCUCAGGCAUGGGUUUACACCAAUAAAUAGGUCUUAGCUGGCCAGCCAUUACACUCGAGUGUUUGCAUGCUUUUAAGCACAAAAAGUCCUGGCUUAAUCUUAGCAAGAAGCAGCAAAACAAGUUGGAUUAGGUCUUUGGUUUCAUGUUUGACAGACAGGUUGUGUCUGCUGAAUCUCAGCCCAAAUGGCUUUGUCAGUUGUGCUAUAAGGUCUGAGCUCUGUUAAAUCUGGGGUUAAAGUGACAGGUG